This 175-nucleotide ribosomal RNA is filed under the name uncultured bacterium. RNAcentral describes it as "partial 16S ribosomal RNA". It matches the Rfam family "Bacterial small subunit ribosomal RNA", at positions 1318 to 1500 of the family's 1533-position model. The record is from RNAcentral.
CCAUGGAGCUGGAUUCGCUAGUAAUCGCGCAUCAGCCACGGCGCGGUGAAUACGUUCCCGGGCCUUGUACACACCGCCCGUCAAGCCAUGGAAGCCGGGGGUGCCUGAAGUGCGUGACCGCAAGGGACGCCCUAGGGUAAAACCGGUGACUGGGGCUAAGUCGUAACAAGGUACC